Molecule: ribosomal RNA, 451 nt
Filed under: uncultured eukaryote
Lineage: Eukaryota
Description: bacterial SSU rRNA
Rfam family: Eukaryotic small subunit ribosomal RNA
Source: RNAcentral
GGAAAACUCACCAGGUCAGGACACGGUAAGGAUUGACGGACUGAAGGCUCUUUCUCGAUUCCGUGGAAAGUGGUGCAUGGCCGUUUUUGGUUGGUGGAUCGAUCCGUCUGGUUAAUUCCGUUAACGAACGAGACCUCGGCACUCCGAAUAGCGCGGCGGACGUCGCGGCCUCCGGGCCGUCUUCCGCACGAGCUUCUUAGAGGGACCGUCCCCCGCCGGGGAAGGAGGUGCGAGGCAACGACAGGUCUGUGAUGCCCUUAGAUGUUCUGGGCCGCACGCGCAUUACACUGACGCGUCCAACGGGUGACUCCCGACCCGAAGGGGCCGGGGAAUCCGCAAGGCGCGUCGUGAUGGGGAUUGAACGUUGCAAUUGUUGUUCACGAACGAGGAAUUCCUAGUAGGCGCGGGUCAUCAACCCGCGCCGAUACGUCCUGCCCUUUGUACACACCGC